AAUAUUCCUGUACUUGGUGUUACUGCGAAGGGGGGACGGAGAAGGCUAUGUUGGCCGGGCGACGGUUGUCCCGGUUUAAGCGUGUAGGCUGGUUUUCCAGGCAAAUCCGGAAAAUCAAGGCUGAGGCGUGAUGACGAGGCACUACGGUGCUGAAGCAACAAAUGCCCUGCUUCCAGGAAAAGCCUCUAAGCAUCAGGUAACAUCAAAUCGUACCCCAAACCGACACAGGUGGUCAGGUAGAGAAUACCAAGGCGCUUGAGAGAACUCGGGUGAAGGAACUAGGCAAAAUGGUGCCGUAACUUCGGGAGAA
This 310-nucleotide ribosomal RNA is filed under the name Escherichia coli. RNAcentral's name for it is "partial 23S ribosomal RNA". It matches the Rfam family "Bacterial large subunit ribosomal RNA", at positions 1432 to 1744 of the family's 2925-position model. Lineage: Bacteria; Pseudomonadati; Pseudomonadota; Gammaproteobacteria; Enterobacterales; Enterobacteriaceae. The record is from RNAcentral.